This 31-nucleotide non-coding RNA is filed under the name Mus musculus (house mouse). The record is from RNAcentral. Lineage: Eukaryota; Metazoa; Chordata; Mammalia; Rodentia; Muridae.
AGCCUGUUAACGCUGGUCUAGCUGCCGGACA